RNAcentral lists this ribosomal RNA (266 nucleotides) under uncultured Actinomycetales bacterium. Its description in RNAcentral is "partial 16S ribosomal RNA". It matches the Rfam family "Bacterial small subunit ribosomal RNA", at positions 220 to 501 of the family's 1533-position model. The record is from RNAcentral. Lineage: Bacteria; Bacillati; Actinomycetota; Actinomycetes; Actinomycetales.
UUUGGAUGAGCCCGCGGCCUAUCAGCUUGUUGGUGAGGUAAUGGCUCACCAAGGCUUCGACGGGUAGCCGGCCUGAGAGGGUGACCGGCCACACUGGGACUGAGACACGGCCCAGACUCCUACGGGAGGCAGCAGUGGGGAAUAUUGGACAAUGGGCGGAAGCCUGAUCCAGCAACGCCGCGUGAGGGAUGACGGCCUUCGGGUUGUAAACCUCUUUCAGCACAGACGAAGCGCAAGUGACGGUACUGCAGAUUGAGGCCCUCAAG